This 485-nucleotide ribosomal RNA is filed under the name uncultured bacterium. RNAcentral describes it as "partial 16S ribosomal RNA". It matches the Rfam family "Bacterial small subunit ribosomal RNA", at positions 28 to 507 of the family's 1533-position model. The record is from RNAcentral.
GACGAACGCUGGCGGCGUGCCUAAUACAUGCAAGUCGAACGCUGGAGACCUAGCUUGCUAGCUCGAAGGAGUGGCGAACGGGUGAGUAAUACAUAAGCAACCUACCCACGAAGACUGGGAUAAUCUCUGGAAACGGGGACUAAUACCGGAUAGGUAAUCGGAAGGCAUCUUCUGGUUAUUAAAGGUUAAAAACACUGGUGGAUGGGCUUAUGGCGCAUUAGUUAGUUGGUGAGGUAACGGCCACCAAGACGCUGAAGCGUAGCCGGGCUGAGAGGGUGAACGGCCACAUUGGGACUGAGACACGGACCAGACGCCUACGGGAGGCAGCAGUAGGGAAUGGUCGGCAAUGGGGGCAACCAUGACCGAGCAACGCCGAGUGAGUGAAGACGGCCUUCGGGGUGUAAAGCUGUGUUGUAAGGGAAGAACGGUAGAUAGAGAAUAUCUAAGUGACGGUACCUUACCAGAAAGCCACGGCUAACUACGUG